GUUUAUGGGUUGGUCGGUGCAUGUUUUGACAUAAUGGGUUCAUAAUUCAUUUAUUUGUGUUAUAAGCUUAUAAGGUUGAGUUUAUGUCUGAUCUUCAUUCCAAUCAUUUGUUGAGCAAGUUUUAAAGUUUGUUUUAAUUUUUUGAUCUGUAUUGUGAUUUGGAAAACAUUUUUUUAAAAUAAAAUAAAAUUUAUAUAUGGUUGUUUCUUGAUAUAAUGUUACACUUAAUGAGUAUGACAUCUAUUGUUGGGAUUUUAACGAGGCAAUUAUAGAAGCUGGCUUCACAUUUAUGGCUGCUAAUUUUGAUGGAAUACUUGGACUUGGAUUACAAGAGAUCUCAGUUGGAAAUGUUGCUCAGGUGCGUUUGAGAAGCUAAAAUGCCUCUCUUCUACGGUGCAGAGUUACAAUUUGAGGACAUUGAAGGCAAGUUCUAAUAUUUUUAUAUGCAAUUCCUUCAUUAUCAUGUGUUAUAAAUGUUAUUAUAACGAGCAAAUUAACACGUACAAAUUAUUGAUGUGAAGUCUUAUUUUCUUUUUAGGUUAACUUUAUACCAACAGUAGUAUUUGGUUGUACACAGGAUCCUUUCAUUGUUUACACUUCUAAUAUCUUUGCCAUCCUAGGUAAUUCUUGUUUCUACUUUUAUGGGAACUAUUCAGAAAACUGUAUCUGAGAAUUUUUUUAAUAUAUAUUUUUAUAAUUUAUAUAUAUUCAUAUACCAUUUUUGGCACUUUGAGUAACUUGUUAUUUAAUGGAUAUAAUCUCAAUUAAAUUAAUUAUUUAGUAGAAAGUCAUGAUUAAAUAGGAGUGAGCAUAUAUGUAUGCAGCAUGCAUGUUAAUAUUUAUUAUGACUUGUUCAAAUCAAAAUAGUUUCUGAUUAGUUUCAUAAGUUACAUGUAAGAAGAGACUAUAAUUAUCAUAUCAUAUUAUGUAGAGACUAUUAGUAUUUUUCCCUCUCUGUUUUUGGGUUUAUUUGCAUCAGAAACUUAGUUAAUCCUUCUUUCUUCGGUGUAUCUGUAAAUUUUUAACUAAAAUGCUGUUGUUAUGCCAUAUUCAAUAAUUAUGUGAUUUUUUAUCCCAUUCAAAAUAGUUUCUUGUUUUUUUUUUUUUUGUCAUGGGAAUAUUAUGAGAUCAAGUUUGUUGGGUUUAUUAGUUACACAUUGUUUAAUAUUAUGUCUUUUAAUAUUAAUAGUACUUUAAUAUUAUUGUUGUUUCAUUUCCCGUCCCUUCCCCAGAUAGAGGGAAUCAAAUGGAAGGUCGGGAAUCAAAUGGAAAUAAUAAAGCAUCAUAAUAUUUUUAGAUUUCAUUCGAUUUUAAGUGAAACAUAUCAGUUUUUUCAAAUUUUAGCUAAAACUUUUAGCUAGAAGUUUAUCAUGAUGACUUUAACUCUCUAAAUUGACUAAUCAGCUCGUGGAUUACCAACCGUAGAUGUGAAUGCUUUGGCUUAUGCACGGUCUAACAAUAAUGUUUUGAUUUUCAAACUGAUAACUAAUUGUUUAAAGCAUAACUAAUUGUCUGGUGCCAACUUGUAUUUAGAUAUGUUGCAUGAUCAAUUAAUGAAUGCCCUCUAAAAUAUUAGACUUCUAUUUCUGCGGGAAAAUCCAUCAUUUAAAUUGUUUAAAAUAAUAAUUACUGUACUAAUAAUGAUAAAUUAUGUGCUUUUAAACCCUGUCAAUGCUUCUGUUUACUUAAAUCUACAUAUAUAUAUAUAUAUAUAUAUGAUUGUCUAGUUUUAUUAGUUAUCUUAAAGAGUGAUCAACAAUUUAUGCAUCACUUGUAAAAUAUAUCUCACACGCUGAGAUUUCUGGUGACACCUUAUUUAUGAUUUUCCCCUUUCCCUCUUCAGCACCCCAAAGCUUUAUUGUCCCUCUGUUCUGAAAUUGAUGUUUCUCCUCGCCACUCCAUAGAUAGCUCACUGAAGUUAUUUUCCUAAGACACAAUCAUGCACUCACACCUCUCGGCUUCUCCUCAUAAGUCCCCGAACAGUUUAGGCUUUAGAUCUUUGGGUGAUUCAACAAGUGAAGUGCAAAAGAAAAUCUGAUUUGGAAGGCUUUGGUGUGCUGCCAUUUGGAAGAUCAUGAAUUCCUAUCUUUACUUUUGAAUAUGCAACUGUUUAAGACUAUUUUGUUGACUAUUGUGAGAAUGUGUUGUUUAUGUUAAUUAGGCAGUGUUGAAUAUCUUAAGACUUUUGGAUUGUUUUUUAGAUCAUCUUGAAUGUAUUUUGACACAAAUAUUUGGUUAUAUGUGUUAUGAACCAUAUAAUUGGUACUAAAAAAUAUAUUUGUACAAUGUUACGGGUGACUUAAGUAUAUUAAAUGAAGCGGGUUUGA
Long non-coding RNA from Humulus lupulus (European hop), 2327 nucleotides. RefSeq lists it as uncharacterized. The record is from RefSeq and is a predicted model, not a curated record. The transcript has 3 exons. Lineage: Eukaryota; Viridiplantae; Streptophyta; Magnoliopsida; Rosales; Cannabaceae.